UCCACCUCUCCGAACCAACGCCGCCAGAGGGAUAUUUAAGAGCACCGCAAGUGACGAUCCGUCAGUCCUGAACGACCGUUCUGGGCUCCAUAACCAGCCAAGCGAAGUGAGCGAGGCGGGCGGACCUGAGUCGCGACGUGCACUGUUUUGAGGUGAUUCGUAAACUUAGGCAGGCCAACUCGAGACGAGAUGCAAGGUGUACUGAAGUGAGACGCCCAUCCGCAGGAGGACUUCGCUGGGACGAAAUAGAAUAUUAAAUUAUUAUUUUGCCUUAUAUUGUACAUAGUUUAGAAUUAAUAGAUUUGCUUUGUUUUCAA
Molecule: long non-coding RNA, 317 nt
Filed under: Diabrotica virgifera virgifera (western corn rootworm)
Lineage: Eukaryota; Metazoa; Arthropoda; Insecta; Coleoptera; Chrysomelidae
Description: uncharacterized LOC126884122
Source: RNAcentral